Molecule: ribosomal RNA, 253 nt
Filed under: uncultured bacterium
Lineage: Bacteria
Description: partial 16S ribosomal RNA
Rfam family: Bacterial small subunit ribosomal RNA
Source: RNAcentral
UACGGAGGGGACUAGCGUUGUUCGGAAUUACUGGGCGUAAAGCGCACGUAGGCGGAUUGUUUAGUCAGGGGUGAAAUCCCGAGGCUCAACCUCGGAACUGCCUUUGAUACUGGCAAUCUCGAGUCCGGAAGAGGUGAGUGGAAUUCCUAGUGUAGAGGUGAAAUUCGUAGAUAUUAGGAAGAACACCAGUGGCGAAGGCGGCUCACUGGUCCGGUACUGACGCUGAGGUGUGAAAGCGUGGGGAGCAAACAGG